Molecule: transfer RNA, 72 nt
Filed under: Camelus bactrianus (Bactrian camel)
Lineage: Eukaryota; Metazoa; Chordata; Mammalia; Artiodactyla; Camelidae
Also listed under: 2 other names
Rfam family: tRNA
About the family: Transfer RNA (tRNA) molecules are approximately 80 nucleotides in length. Their secondary structure includes four short double-helical elements and three loops (D, anti-codon, and T loops).
Source: Rfam by way of RNAcentral
GUGGGUAUAGCCCAGUGGUAGAGUACAUGCUUAGCAUGCACGAGGUACUGGGUUCAAUCCUCAGUAACUGCG